This 253-nucleotide ribosomal RNA is filed under the name uncultured bacterium. RNAcentral's name for it is "partial 16S ribosomal RNA". It matches the Rfam family "Bacterial small subunit ribosomal RNA", at positions 524 to 776 of the family's 1533-position model. The record is from RNAcentral.
UACAGGGGGUGCAAGCGUUGUUCGGAAUUACUGGGCGUAAAGGGUCUGUAGGUGGCCAACUAAGUCAAACGUGAAAUCCCCGGGCUUAACCCGGGAACUGCGACCGAUACUGGUUGGCUUGAAUUCGGGAGAGGGAUGCGGAAUUCCAGGUGUAGCGGUGAAAUGCGUAGAUAUCUGGAGGAACACCGGUGGCGAAGGCGGCAUCCUGGACCGGCAUUGACGCUGAGGCGCGAAAGCCAGGGGAGCAAACGGG